Molecule: ribosomal RNA, 492 nt
Filed under: uncultured bacterium
Lineage: Bacteria
Description: partial 16S ribosomal RNA
Rfam family: Bacterial small subunit ribosomal RNA
Source: RNAcentral
AGUGAACGCUGGCGGUAGGCCUAAUACAUGCAAGUCGAACGGCAGCACAGUAAGCGCUUGCUCUUACCGGUGGCGAGUGGCGGACGGGUGAGGAAUACAUCGGCAUCUACUUUUUCGUGGGGGAUAACGUAGGGAAACUUACGCUAAUACCGCAUAUGACCUACGGGUGAAAGCAGGGGAUCUUCGGACCUUGCGCGAUUGAAUGAGCCGAUGUCGGAUUAGCUAGUUGGCGGGGUAAAGGCCCACCAAGGCGACGAUCCGUAGCUGGUCUGAGAGGAUGAUCAGCCACACUGGAACUGAGACACGGUCCAGACUCCUACGGGAGGCAGCAGUGGGGAAUAUUGGACAAUGGGCGCAAGCCUGAUCCAGCCAUACCGCGUGGGUGAAGAAGGCCUUCGGGUUGUAAAGCCCUUUUGUUGGGAAAGAAAAGCAGCAGAUGAAUACCCCGCUGUUCUGACGGUACCCAAAGAAUAAGCACCGGCUAACUUCGUG